Molecule: transfer RNA, 72 nt
Organism: Trametes pubescens
Lineage: Eukaryota; Fungi; Basidiomycota; Agaricomycetes; Polyporales; Polyporaceae
Rfam family: tRNA
About the family: Transfer RNA (tRNA) molecules are approximately 80 nucleotides in length. Their secondary structure includes four short double-helical elements and three loops (D, anti-codon, and T loops).
Source: Rfam
GGGCAAUUGGCACAGUGGUAGCGCGCACGCUUCGCAUGCGUGAGGUCCAGGGUUCAAUCCCCUGAUUGUCCA